AACGAACGCUGGCGGCAGGCUUAACACAUGCAAGUCGAGCGAGACCUUCGGGUCUAGCGGCGGACGGGUGAGUAACGCGUGGGAACGUGCCCUUUGCUACGGAAUAGCCCCGGGAAACUGGGAGUAAUACCGUAUGAGCCCCUUGGCCUUGGCGGUCUUGGGGGAAAGAUUUAUCGGCAAAGGAUCGGCCCGCGUUGGAUUAGGUAGUUGGUGAGGUAACGGCUCACCAAGCCGACGAUCCAUAGCUGGUUUGAGAGGAUGAUCAGCCACACUGGGACUGAGACACGGCCCAGACUCCUACGGGAGGCAGCAGUGGGGAAUCUUAGACAAUGGGGGCAACCCUGAUCUAGCCAUGCCGCGUGAGUGAUGAAGGCCUUAGGGUUGUAAAGCUCUUUCAGCUGGGAAGAU
Molecule: ribosomal RNA, 408 nt
Filed under: uncultured bacterium
Lineage: Bacteria
Description: bacterial SSU rRNA
Rfam family: Bacterial small subunit ribosomal RNA
Source: RNAcentral